Molecule: ribosomal RNA, 253 nt
Filed under: uncultured bacterium
Lineage: Bacteria
Description: partial 16S ribosomal RNA
Rfam family: Bacterial small subunit ribosomal RNA
Source: RNAcentral
UACAGAGGGGGCAAGCGUUGUUCGGAAUUACUGGGCGUAAAGGGCGCGUAGGCGGCCUGUUAAGUCGGACGUGAAAUCCCUCGGCUUAACCGGGGAACUGCGUCUGAUACUGGAUGGCUUGAGUUCGGGAGAGGGAUGCGGAAUUCCAGGUGUAGCGGUGAAAUGCGUAGAUAUCUGGAGGAACACCGGUGGCGAAGGCGGCAUCCUGGACCGACACUGACGCUGAGGAGCGAAAGCCAGGGGAGCAAACGGG